RNAcentral lists this ribosomal RNA (429 nucleotides) under uncultured Acidobacterium sp. RNAcentral's name for it is "bacterial SSU rRNA". It matches the Rfam family "Bacterial small subunit ribosomal RNA", at positions 958 to 1385 of the family's 1533-position model. Lineage: Bacteria; Pseudomonadati; Acidobacteriota; Terriglobia; Terriglobales; Acidobacteriaceae. The record is from RNAcentral.
AACGCGAAGAACCUUACCUGGGCUCGAAAUGCUAUGGACAGUCUGUGAAAGCAGAUCUUCCCGCAAGGGACCGUAGUAUAGGUGCUGCAUGGCUGUCGUCAGCUCGUGUCGUGAGAUGUUGGGUUAAGUCCCGCAACGAGCGCAACCCUUGUCCUGUGUUGCCACUCCCGUAAGGGAAGCACUCUCAGGAGACCGCCAGCGAUAAGUUGGAGGAAGGUGGGGAUGAUGUCAAGUCAUCAUGGCCUUUAUGUCCAGGGCUACACACGUGCUACAAUGGGCGGUACAAAGCGCUGCAAACCCGCGAGGGGGAGCCAAUCGCAAAAAACCGUUCUCAGUUCGGAUCGCAGGCUGCAACUCGCCUGCGUGAAGCUGGAAUCGCUAGUAAUGGUGUAUCAGAACGAUACCGUGAAUACGUUCCCGGGCCUUGUA